AACGAACGCUGGCGGCAGGCUUAACACAUGCAAGUCGAGCGCCCCGCAAGGGGAGCGGCAGACGGGUGAGUAACGCGUGGGAAUCUACCGUGCCCUACGGAAUAGCUCCGGGAAACUGGAAUUAAUACCGUAUACGCCCUACGGGGGAAAGAUUUAUCGGGGUAUGAUGAGCCCGCGUUGGAUUAGCUAGUUGGUGGGGUAAAGGCCUACCAAGGCGACGAUCCAUAGCCGGUCUGAGAGGAUGAUCAGCCACAUUGGGAAUGAGACACGGCCCAAACUCCUACGGGAGGCAGCAGUGGGGAAUAUUGGACAAUGGGCGCAAGCCUGAUCCAGCCAUGCCGCGUGAGUGAUGAAGGUCUUAGGAUUGUAAAGCUCUUUCACCGGUGAAGAUAAUGACGGUAACCGGAGAAGAAGCCCCGGCUAACUUCGUGCCAGCAGCCGCGGUAA
Molecule: ribosomal RNA, 447 nt
Filed under: uncultured bacterium
Lineage: Bacteria
Description: partial 16S ribosomal RNA
Rfam family: Bacterial small subunit ribosomal RNA
Source: RNAcentral